GCUUCCUACGGGAGGCAGCAGUAGGGAAUCUUCCGCAAUGGACGAAAGUCUGACGGAGCAACGCCGCGUGAGUGAUGAAGGCUUUCGGGUCGUAAAACUCUGUUGUUAGGGAAGAACAAGUACGAGAGUAACUGCUCGUACCUUGACGGUACCUAACCAGGAAGCCACGGCUAACUACGUGCCAGCAGCCGCGGUAAUACGUAGGUGGCAAGCGUUAUCCGGAAUUAUUGGGCGUAAAGCGCGCGCAGGCGGUUUUUUAAGUCUGAUGUGAAAGCCCACGGCUCAACCGUGGAGGGUCAUUGGAAACUGGGGAACUUGAGUGCAGAAGAGAAAAGCGGAAUUCCACGUGUAGCGGUGAAAUGCGUAGAGAUGUGGAGGAACACCAGUGGCGAAGGCGGCUUUUUGGUCUGUAACUGACGCUGAGGCGCGAAAGCGUGGGGAGCAAACAGGAUUAGAUACCCUGGUAGUCCACGCCGUAAACGAUGAGUGCUAAGUGUUAGAGGGUUUCCGCCCUUUAGUGCUGCAGCUAACGCAUUAAGCACUCCGCCUGGGGAGUACGGUCGCAAGACUGAAACUCAAAGGAAUUGACG
RNAcentral lists this ribosomal RNA (590 nucleotides) under uncultured bacterium. RNAcentral describes it as "bacterial SSU rRNA". It matches the Rfam family "Bacterial small subunit ribosomal RNA", at positions 334 to 915 of the family's 1533-position model. The record is from RNAcentral.